UACGGAGGGUCCAAGCGUUAUCCGGAAUCAUUGGAUUUAAAGGGUCCGUAGGCGGUUUUGUAAGUCAGUGGUGAAAGCCCAUCGCUCAACGGUGGAACGGCCAUUGAUACUGCAAGACUUGAAUUAUUAGGAAGUAACUAGAAUAUGUAGUGUAGCGGUGAAAUGCUUAGAUAUUACAUGGAAUACCAAUUGCGAAGGCAGGUUACUACUAAUGGAUUGACGCUGAUGGACGAAAGCGUGGGGAGCGAACAGG
RNAcentral lists this ribosomal RNA (253 nucleotides) under uncultured bacterium. RNAcentral's name for it is "partial 16S ribosomal RNA". It matches the Rfam family "Bacterial small subunit ribosomal RNA", at positions 524 to 776 of the family's 1533-position model. The record is from RNAcentral.